This 522-nucleotide ribosomal RNA is filed under the name Triticum aestivum (bread wheat). RNAcentral's name for it is "partial small subunit ribosomal RNA". Lineage: Eukaryota; Viridiplantae; Streptophyta; Magnoliopsida; Poales; Poaceae. The record is from RNAcentral.
AUGACAUAUAAUAUGCAAGGGAUGGAAAAGACAAUUCCCGAGCUCUUCGCAAUGCUAAAGGCUGGGGAGGUAGAAAUCAAAAAGGAGCAUCAAGUGUUGAUGGUUAACAAGACCACUAGUUUCAAGAAAAAGGGCAAAGUGAAGAAGGGGAACGUCAAGAAGAACAGCAAGCCAGUUGCUGCUCAAGGGAAGAAGCCCAAGUCUGGACCUAAGCCUGAAACUGAGUGCUUCUACUACAAAGGGACUGGUCACUGGAAGCGGAACUGCCCCAAGUAUUUCGCGGAUAAGAAGGAUGACAAAGUGAAAGGUAUAUUUGAUAUACAUGUUAUUUAUGUGUACUUUACUAGUGUUCAUAGUAACCCCAGGGUAUUUGAUACCGGUUUAGUUGCUAUGAUUAGUAACUCGAAACAGGAGUUACAAAAUGAACAUAGACUAGUUGAGGGCGAGGCAACAAUGUGUGUUGGAAGUGAUUCCAAGGUUGAUAAGAUCACUAUUGCAUACUCCCUCUACCUUCGGGAUUAG